RNAcentral lists this ribosomal RNA (463 nucleotides) under Streptococcus mitis. RNAcentral describes it as "bacterial SSU rRNA". It matches the Rfam family "Bacterial small subunit ribosomal RNA", at positions 28 to 475 of the family's 1533-position model. Lineage: Bacteria; Bacillati; Bacillota; Bacilli; Lactobacillales; Streptococcaceae. The record is from RNAcentral.
GACGAACGCGGCGGCGUGCCUAAUACAUGCAAGUAGAACGCUGAAAGAGGAGCUUGCUUCUCUGGAUGAGUUGCGAACGGGUGAGUAACGCGUAGGUAACCUGCCUGGUAGCGGGGGAUAACUAUUGGAAACGAUAGCUAAUACCGCAUAAGAGUAGAUGUUGCAUGACAUUUGCUUAAAAGGUGCAAUUGCAUCACUACCAGAUGGACCUGCGUUGUAUUAGCUAGUUGGUGGGGUAACGGCUCACCAAGGCGACGAUACAUAGCCGACCUGAGAGGGUGAUCGGCCACACUGGGACUGAGACACGGCCCAGACUCCUACGGGAGGCAGCAGUAGGGAAUCUUCGGCAAUGGACGGAAGUCUGACCGAGCAACGCCGCGUGAGUGAAGAAGGUUUUCGGAUCGUAAAGCUCUGUUGUAAGAGAAGAACGAGUGUGAGAGUGGAAAAGUUCACACUGUGACGG